RNAcentral lists this transfer RNA (77 nucleotides) under Yeguia hominis. Its description in RNAcentral is "Clostridiales bacterium NSJ-40 tRNA-Val". It matches the Rfam family "tRNA". Rfam says of the family: Transfer RNA (tRNA) molecules are approximately 80 nucleotides in length. Lineage: Bacteria; Bacillati; Bacillota; Clostridia; Eubacteriales; Yeguiaceae. The record is from RNAcentral.
GGACGUUUAGCUCAGCUGGUAGAGCAUUCGCUUGACGUGCGAAGGGUUCACAGGUUCGAGUCCUGUAACGUCCACCA